AUGCUUUUGUAGUUCAUGGGCAUGACCAUCGAGUGUUUACAUGCAUGUGUGAGAUAUGACACCUUCUGAACCUUGUUACGGAGUUGGCAAGUUACCCAUCUAACC
Molecule: small nucleolar RNA, 105 nt
Organism: Pan troglodytes (chimpanzee)
Lineage: Eukaryota; Metazoa; Chordata; Mammalia; Primates; Hominidae
Rfam family: Small nucleolar RNA U13
Source: Rfam